AGCAUUCGUCUUCUGGUUACGGGGCCAUAGCUCAGCUGGGAGAGCGCGUGCUUUGCAAGCAUGAGGUCGUCGGUUCGAUCCCGUCUGGCUCCACCACGCUUCGCCUGAAGGCUUCGCGUGGCGCGGCCAAGCGCGAUCGCGAAGCGUGCCCGGCGAAGCUCGAUAGAGCGAAGACGGGCUGAUCGUUGCCCUCGUAACCAAAUCGUCCGCGAAACAUCACUUCGCACUCACGAGUCCGGAUGGACAGUGACGUGUGUGUUUUCUGACAUCGUAAAGAGGAGAUCGAUCCGAGUUUGGAUCAAGCGAAGCAAUUCGCCUGACCCAUUCACUAUCUCCGGGAUCAUUUCGGCGCUCGCUUCAGUCGUGAGAUUGAAUGCGGGUUGUAAAUGAUCCUUUGUUAGCGAAGCUUGACCGCCUCGCUAUCGGGCCGAUCUUACGAAGCAAGCUGGUCUUUCUAGUCAAUGUCCGGCUGUGACAAUCGCAUUCAUCGAGGAUGCGCGCCUUCAGUGGCAAUUGCACAGACAGCAUUCUGCCGAGUGUGUGGACAUUGAUAAUGAGAGCAAUCAAGUGCCUUAAGGGUGUUCGGUGGAUGCCUUGGCGCUGAGAGGCGAUGAAGGACGUGCUACGCUGCGAUAAGCCGU
Molecule: unclassified non-coding RNA, 641 nt
Filed under: Bradyrhizobium sp. ORS 86
Lineage: Bacteria; Pseudomonadati; Pseudomonadota; Alphaproteobacteria; Hyphomicrobiales; Nitrobacteraceae
Description: partial 16S-23S ribosomal RNA intergenic spacer
Rfam family: tRNA (bases 21-93)
Source: RNAcentral